GUUGAUUCAAAUAAGGAGGGAGGGGAACAGGAAAGAGGCAGGUACACUCACAGGGUAUUUUUGGUUUGUCAUUUUUUUUUUGCAGGGAUUUCGGGGAGCUUUAUUCAUGAACCAUGGAAGAGCGCACGAAGAGAAGAAGAAAAGGUAGGAAUGGCGGCACAUCUCGCUCAACUUGCUCAAGCCUUCGUAAGGUUCAUACUCAGGGAAGCCCGUCGCAACCACCGCGUCUCCAACAUUCGUCGCCGGGGAGUUGCUGUUGCUGUUCGUCGCCGCCGGGGAGUUGCUGUUGCUGUUCGUCGCCGCCGGGGAGUUGCUGUUGCUGUUCGUCGCCGCCGGGGAGUUGUUGUUGUUGUUCGUCGCCGCCAGGGAGUUGCUGUUGCUAUUCGUCGCCGUCGACUUCAUGGUGUUGUCCGUCGCCGUCGACUUGCUGGUCCCGGCAUUGGCCUCCGUCAGCGCCGGGCUCGCCGUCGUCACCAUCAAGGAACUGCAAGAAGGGCCACGCCCGCAGCACCGCCAUUUGAAUGGCUUGUAGCCGGCACGAGCGCUGGCUGGUUGGCAGAAGAAGGGGAACGCCGAGCGACGCCUCUGCGUCCGGUCCUCAUCGACGACGAACUGGCGCCGCCACCACUCCCACCAACGCCUCCGCGUCUGCUGACACCAACACCGACCCCAGAACUUGAUGCACCGCCGGGAUAUGGUCCAGUGGAGGCGCCGGCACCAGAACCAACUCCAACACCGACGCCAGAAGCCCGACGCCUCCUGCGCCGGUUCGCCUCAGCGAUGGCAGUGCGCCGCCCCGAUCUGCACGUGGGCGGGUGGAACCCAGGCGCACUCGGUUUCAACGCCGGGAACUCCUCCGCGGCGUCCUCCGGCGGCCGCAAUUUCAUGGCGCCCUCCUUUGACGCGGGAGGGUCAGCCACCCCUUGAAGAUAGCAGCGGUGCAGUGCAGCCCGGCGGCAUGGACUGGAGCAGCAGCGUGGCGGCGGCAUGGAAAACCUAAUCGCUCGCUCGCUCGCCUCUGGUUUUAAUCCCGUCGUUCCCAAUCUCGUACGCAUGGGCUUGCUGGGCCAAAACAGGCCGACUGCACCUCCACUCAAGAAACGGAGAUUUGCAUGUUAGCCACUAUAUUUCCGGGCAUUUGCGAAUCAGUCCUAUAGUUAACUAUUAAGUUAUUUACUGCUGUAAAUUUAUUCCUUUUAUUCUCUGACUUUAUACAUAAUUACGUCCGGUACUGUAAUGUAUUGUAGGCUUGUAUCAUAGACCAUGUUACCUCUAAGUAUUAUGUUAUAAGUAUUGUAAUA
Long non-coding RNA from Brachypodium distachyon (stiff brome), 1301 nucleotides. RefSeq lists it as uncharacterized. Lineage: Eukaryota; Viridiplantae; Streptophyta; Magnoliopsida; Poales; Poaceae. The record is from RefSeq and is a predicted model, not a curated record. The transcript has 2 exons.